GAAAUGCGAUAAGUAGUGUGAAUUGCAGAAUUCAGUGAAUCAUCGAAUCUUUGAACGCACAUUGCGCCCGCCAGUAUUCUGGCGGGCAUGCCUGUUCGAGCGUCAUUUCAACCAUCAAGCCCCGGGCUUGUGUUGGGGACCUGCGGCUGCCGCAGGCCCUGAAAAGCAGUGGCGGGCUCGCUGUCACACCGAGCGUAGUAGAUCUCAUCUCGCUCAGGGCGUGCUGCGGGUUCCGGCCGUAAAACAGCCUCAUAAGCACCCAAGGUUGACCUCGGAUCAGGUAGGAAGACCCGCUGAACUAAA
This 303-nucleotide unclassified non-coding RNA is filed under the name uncultured Chaetomiaceae. RNAcentral's name for it is "sequence contains ITS1". The stretch from base 1 to 105 matches the Rfam family "5.8S ribosomal RNA", at positions 50 to 154 of the family's 154-position model. Lineage: Eukaryota; Fungi; Ascomycota; Sordariomycetes; Sordariales. The record is from RNAcentral.